UUCGGCCAUCUUGGCAUCUUCAUCUUGGCGACCUUGCCUUGCCGUGGAUUGUUUUUAGUUGUUUGUAUUAUUUGUGCUUUUUAAGAAUAUUUUUUUAAUUCGGAUACUUUUAUAAUAGCUUUAAUAGUAUUAUUAACAUAGUGCAUAAAAUGGUGUCCUGUUUUUAACGCAGUUGGAGUAGCAGAAACAAAUGUAGAUAAAAAAAUCUGCAGGAAUAACGUUUCAAUUAUGACAGAAGCUCAAAACAAAUGACUGUGAAUGAAAAGCCCUAUUAAAAGCUUUCCAGAAGAUCCUGCGAAGAAGACAUGAAGUAUAGAUCAGAUUUGUUAAUAGAGGAGUAUGUUCAAAACACUUUUUAGAAAAAGAUAUUGACAGAACUUCACUUUCAUCUGUUCGUUUGAGAGACUGUGCUGUUCCAAUAGCUUAUGUCACACAGAAUCAGCUGAGAGAAGUGGUCUACAAAAAACCAGAAAGGAAACGGAAUAUGUGGCUACGAAAAGCAAAAGAAAGGUUUACAAAGCAAAUGUGACACAUUUUUUUUAUAAUAUUUAGGAAUGUCAGCAAAUUACAUUAAAAAAUGUAUGUAAAGAUUUUUUGCAAUAAAAAUGUUUAUAUUUA
This is a long non-coding RNA of Diabrotica virgifera virgifera (western corn rootworm), 618 nucleotides long. RefSeq lists it as uncharacterized. The transcript has 3 exons. Lineage: Eukaryota; Metazoa; Arthropoda; Insecta; Coleoptera; Chrysomelidae. The record is from RefSeq and is a predicted model, not a curated record.